GUUUACACACAGUGAAACACAAUUAAUAAUAAAAAGAUAUAUUAUUGAUAUGAUUUCCAAAUCAUUAAAUUUAUAAAUUACUAAUUCUAUAUGUGAAUUAAUUACUAUCAGUUUAAUUAAAGUUAUUAAAUUAUUUAAUUUGAUUAAGUGAAAAAAAAAGGAAAACUUUUUUAGUGUGAGGGAAAGUAGAGAAAAAAGAGAGGGC
Molecule: long non-coding RNA, 205 nt
Filed under: Vigna radiata
Lineage: Eukaryota; Viridiplantae; Streptophyta; Magnoliopsida; Fabales; Fabaceae
Description: long non-coding RNA (VRAD_LNC005566)
Source: RNAcentral